Molecule: ribosomal RNA, 394 nt
Filed under: uncultured bacterium
Lineage: Bacteria
Description: partial 16S ribosomal RNA
Rfam family: Bacterial small subunit ribosomal RNA
Source: RNAcentral
CCUACGGGAGGCAGCAGUGAGGAAUAUUGGUCAAUGGGCGCGAGCCUGAACCAGCCAAGUAGCGUGCAGGAUGACUGCCCUACGGGUUGUAAACUUCUUUUAUAAAGGAAUAAAGUGAGGCACGUGUGCCUUUUUGUAUGUACUUUAUGAAUAAGGACCGGCUAACUCCGUGCCAGCAGCCGCGGUAAUACGGAGGGUCCGAGCGUUAUCCGGAUUUAUUGGGUUUAAAGGGAGCGUAGGGGGGUUGUUAAGUGAGUUGUGAAAGGCUGCGGCUCAACCGUAGCAGUGCAGUUGGUACUGGCAGGCUUGAGUACAGUGGAGGUAGGCGGAAUUCGUGGUGUAGCGGUGAAAUGCUUAGAUAUCACGAAGAACUCCGAUUGCGAAGGCAGCCUAC